AGAGUUUGAUCCUGGCUCAGAUUGAACGCUGGCGGCAGGCUUAACACAUGCAAGUCGAGCGGUAACAGGAAUUAGCUUGCUAAUUUGCUGACGAGCGGCGGACGGGUGAGUAACGCGUAGGAAUCUGCCUAGUAGUGGGGGACAACAUGUGGAAACGCAUGCUAAUACCGCAUACGCCCUACGGGGGAAAGGAGGGGAUCUUCGGACCUUUCGCUAUUAGAUGAGCCUGCGUAAGAUUAGCUAGUUGGUGGGGUAAAGGCUCACCAAGGCGACGAUCUUUAGCUGGUCUGAGAGGAUGAUCAGCCACACUGGGACUGAGACACGGCCCAGACUCCUACGGGAGGCAGCAGUGGGGAAUAUUGGACAAUGGGCGCAAGCCUGAUCCAGCCAUGCCGCGUGUGUGAAGAAGGCCUUCGGGUUGUAAAGCACUUUCAGAAGUGAGGAAGGGUGACUGGCUAAUAUCCAGUUAUCUUGACGUUAGCUUCAGAAGAAGCACCGGCUAACUCUGUGCCAGCAGCCGCGGUAAUAC
This 529-nucleotide ribosomal RNA is filed under the name Marinomonas sp. RNAcentral's name for it is "bacterial SSU rRNA". It matches the Rfam family "Bacterial small subunit ribosomal RNA", at positions 8 to 526 of the family's 1533-position model. The record is from RNAcentral. Lineage: Bacteria; Pseudomonadati; Pseudomonadota; Gammaproteobacteria; Oceanospirillales; Oceanospirillaceae.